This 464-nucleotide ribosomal RNA is filed under the name uncultured bacterium. RNAcentral describes it as "partial 16S ribosomal RNA". It matches the Rfam family "Bacterial small subunit ribosomal RNA", at positions 28 to 506 of the family's 1533-position model. The record is from RNAcentral.
GACGAACGCUGGCGGCGUGCUUAACACAUGCAAGUCGAACGGAAAGGCCCUGCUUGCAGGGUACUCGAGUGGCGAACGGGUGAGUAACACGUGGGUGAUCUGCCCUGCACUUCGGGAUAAGCCUGGGAAACUGGGUCUAAUACCGGAUAGGAGCCAUUUUUAGUGUGAUGGUUGGAAAGUUUUUUCGGUGUAGGAUGAGCUCGCGGCCUAUCAGCUUGUUGGUGGGGUAAUGGCCUACCAAGGCGGCGACGGGUAGCCGGCCUGAGAGGGUGGACGGCCACAUUGGGACUGAGAUACGGCCCAGACUCCUACGGGAGGCAGCAGUGGGGAAUAUUGCACAAUGGGCGCAAGCCUGAUGCAGCGACGCCGCGUGGGGGAUGACGGCCUUCGGGUUGUAAACUCCUUUCGCUAGGGACGAAGCUUUUUGUGACGGUACCUAGAUAAGAAGCACCGGCUACCUCCGU